This 508-nucleotide ribosomal RNA is filed under the name uncultured bacterium. RNAcentral describes it as "partial 16S ribosomal RNA". It matches the Rfam family "Bacterial small subunit ribosomal RNA", at positions 28 to 507 of the family's 1533-position model. The record is from RNAcentral.
GACGAACGCUGGCGGCGUGCCUAAUACAUGCAAGUCGAACGCUUCUUUCCUCCCGAGUGCUUGCACUCAAUUGGAAAGAGGAGUGGCGGACGGGUGAGUAACACGUGGGUAACCUACCCAUCAGAGGGGGAUAACACUUGGAAACAGGUGCUAAUACCGCAUAACAGUUUAUGCCGCAUGGCAUAAGAGUGAAAGGCGCUUUCGGGUGUCGCUGAUGGAUGGACCCGCGGUGCAUUAGCUAGUUGGUGAGGUAACGGCUCACCAAGGCCACGAUGCAUAGCCGACCUGAGAGGGUGAUAGGCCACACUGGGACUGAGACACGGACCAGACUCCUACGGGAGGCAGCAGUAGGGAAUCUUCGGCAAUGGACGAAAGUCUGACCGAGCAACGCCGCGUGAGUGAAGAAGGUUUUCGGAUCGUAAAACUCUGUUGUUAGAGAAGAACAAGGACGUUAGUAACUGAACGUCCCCUGACGGUAUCUAACCAGAAAGCCACGGCUAACUACGUG